ACGAAGCACUUGCAGACACUUUUUUCCUGAGUCUCUCUGAAGAUAUAAAGGAGAGACUUACCAUGGUUGAUCUUCCUACAAGUUUUGAGGGUCUUGUGGAACUUGCUAUUAAGAUUGACAACCAAAUGCAGGAACAAGAGCGGCUCAGAGGAGCUACAGGCCCUGGAUCUGCGCCUUUUAGUCCCAAGGAAGAAAGGUCCUUGGUUCCUGUUCGGGACAUUCUUGAUAAAACACAGAUACGGGACUUUCGUAGACGGAACCCGGGCAUUCCUGGGACGUCUGGGGACGUCCCUUGGGGGGGGGGUACUGUCAGGAUCUGUCAUUUUCUUGGAUCAAAGAAACCAGAGGGCUGUGAGCUCACUUAGGGAGAAUCCAGAGAUUCAGUCAGACAAAGGAGUCCAAGGGCAGUUUGGAAAACGGUCAGACCAAGACUUUACGAGAACUAGGGUUGCAGUGCCCUUGCGACAGUCACUUCAGCUCCCAUGUUAGUGUACGAGAGAGAAUACUGGCGAAGCAGGUUGUUGAGGGAAAUAUGAAGAAGGGAGAAACAUUAAACAUUUCUAAGACCCACGGAUACGUGAAUCAGUGAACUGCAGGAGAACCAGGCACAACAGUGGCCAAGAUUGCCCAGUACAAGAGGAAACGAUCGCUCUCUGAGUGCUGCAGGUGCUGAUUAAACAGGAGAUUCAGAGGAAAAGUGGCUAUGCUAUCCAAGUGGAUGAGGAGCAUCUCAGGGUGAACUCAAUGCCCCUACACAGUUCAAGGCCAGUGUGUCUAAACAGUAGCAGUUACAAGUGCAAACCGCCUC
Xiphias gladius (swordfish) is the source of this 808-nucleotide long non-coding RNA. RefSeq lists it as uncharacterized. The record is from RefSeq and is a predicted model, not a curated record. The transcript is spliced from 4 exons. Lineage: Eukaryota; Metazoa; Chordata; Actinopteri; Istiophoriformes; Xiphiidae.